Molecule: long non-coding RNA, 480 nt
Filed under: Manihot esculenta (cassava)
Lineage: Eukaryota; Viridiplantae; Streptophyta; Magnoliopsida; Malpighiales; Euphorbiaceae
Description: long non-coding RNA (MESC_LNC006458)
Source: RNAcentral
CAGAGUCUGUCAGCGUCUGCCAGGAGGUGAGUAGAACUAAACCUAAUCUUUUAUUUUAAGAAAUUAAAUGUCUAAUGCAUCUUUUUUUUUUUAAUGAAAUCUAAUGCCUAAAGCAUAUGCAUGCAUCAUGUUUAUAUGUAAUAGGAUGAUUGCACUAGUUUCACGAAUGUGACGCAUUGCAUAAAUUGUUGAUGUUGUGAUGAGAUGGGUGGACCAAGGCGACCUCAAUAGCCCGUAAGUCUGUCAUUGAGUCCUUAUUAGUCGGGCGAGUACAUGUAGGAAAGCCCAAUGAGAGCUCCUUCGGGGCCGAGUUAUGACAGAGGGAAUGUUGGGGUCAUGUCUAACCCUGAGGGGAAGGACGUUUCGAGAACCCUCUAAAAUCACCCGCAAGAGGAAGAGAUUGCUAGCGUGAACUCAAGCGGGGAUGAAAGGUUUGAUGUGUAUUCGUUGUGAUUUGACGCAUUUCAUGAAAGCAUGAAA